UCGCAUUUUUCUUUUAAUAUUCCAGAUAAACAAUUUGUUGAUGACGGCGUCAUUCAAACAGCUCUUACACUCUGCAAAAAAAGGUGGAGGGUUGUUGGGGGGUUCUCGCUUUAGAUUACAAAUUACAUAAUUAUAGAUAAACCACUACGGCAAUAGAUCAGUUGAACUCUAUUGAAUGUUGCAUACUUGAAUUGCUUCUAUUCGAAACAUUCGAUGAGGAUGUCUGUUUGGUGCAUAUCUCCACGGUCUGUACCUCUCCGACCGACCAAUUGAAUUAAGUGAUUGGUUUUCGUAUUUAAUCUAUGACAGACAGAGAACAAGGACGGAGGACGAUUGCUAAACGGUCAGACUUUCCCUUCGAAGAUGUUUCCAAUUUCUCUCUUCAAAAUACAGGUAAAACUUUAAUAUUCAACAAUCUGGAAGCCAAGACUGCCCAUUUGAAGCGUUCUUCUCAAAGAUUAUAUGAAAGUUAAGAAGUUCCCACAUUUUCCAAUAAGUCAAAAUUCAGUGUGAUUACUACAGUUCUAAACUGCUGCUCCAUGCUUUUUGAUUUCUAUCAAUAUCACUUCUAAUUUAAUAUGUAAUAAAAAAAUAAAUAAAAAAUAAUUUAAAAUUUUAUUCAAUUCA
This is a long non-coding RNA of Zeugodacus cucurbitae (melon fly), 627 nucleotides long. RefSeq lists it as uncharacterized. The record is from RefSeq and is a predicted model, not a curated record. The transcript is spliced from 4 exons. Lineage: Eukaryota; Metazoa; Arthropoda; Insecta; Diptera; Tephritidae.